Molecule: ribosomal RNA, 497 nt
Filed under: uncultured bacterium
Lineage: Bacteria
Description: partial 16S ribosomal RNA
Rfam family: Bacterial small subunit ribosomal RNA
Source: RNAcentral
GAUGAACGCUGGCGGCGUGCCUAAUACAUGCAAGUCGAGCGAACAGACGAGGAGCUUGCUCCUCUGAUGUUAGCGGCGGACGGGUGAGUAACACGUGGAUAACCUACCUAUAAGACUGGGAUAACUUCGGGAAACCGGAGCUAAUACCGGAUAACAUGUUGAACCGCAUGGUUCAACAGUGAAAGACGGUCGUGCUGUCACUUAUAGAUGGAUCCGCGCCGCAUUAGCUAGUUGGUAAGGUAACGGCUUACCAAGGCAACGAUGCGUAGCCGACCUGAGAGGGUGAUCGGCCACACUGGAACUGAGACACGGUCCAGACUCCUACGGGAGGCAGCAGUAGGGAAUCUUCCGCAAUGGGCGAAAGCCUGACGGAGCAACGCCGCGUGAGUGAAGAAGGUCUUCGGAUCGUAAAACUCUGUUAUUAGGGAAGAACAAAUGUGUAAGUAACUAUGCACGUCUUGACGGUACCUAAUCAGAAAGCCACGGCUAACUACGUG